Molecule: transfer RNA, 75 nt
Filed under: Candidatus Pacearchaeota archaeon CG10_big_fil_rev_8_21_14_0_10_35_13
Lineage: Archaea; Nanobdellati
Description: tRNA-Met
Rfam family: tRNA
About the family: Transfer RNA (tRNA) molecules are approximately 80 nucleotides in length. Their secondary structure includes four short double-helical elements and three loops (D, anti-codon, and T loops).
Source: RNAcentral
AGCGAGGUGGAGCAGCCCGGAGUGCUCGCGAGGCCCAUAACCUCGAGGUCGGUGGUUCAAAUCCACCCCUCGCUA